UCAAGUGACUAAGUGCAUGUGGCGGAUGCCUUGGCGAUCACAGGCGAAGAAAGACGCGGCAGCCUGCGAAAAGCUGCGGGGAGCUGGCAAACGAGCUUUGAUCCGCAGAUAUCUGAAUGGGGGAACCCACACCGCAAGGUGUAUCCGUGACUGAAUACAUAGGUUACGGAGGCGAACGAGGAGAACUGAAACAUCUAAGUAUCCUCAGGAAAAGAAAUCAACCGAGAUUCCGGCAGUAGCGGCGAGCGAACCCGGAGGAGCCUAGCUUUUGAUAGUACGAACUUUAGCCGAAAGGUCCUGGAAAGGCCUGCUAUAGUGGGUGAUAGCCCCGUAGGCGAAAGAGUUCGUAUGGUACUAAGGAAGCGAGAAGUAGAGCGGGACACGUGGAAUCCUGUUCGAAGAUGGGGGGACCAUCCUCCAAGGCUAAAUACUCGUGAUCGACCGAUAGUGAACCAGUACCGUGAGGGAAAGGCGAAAAGAACCCCGGGAGGGGAGUGAAAUAGAACCUGAAACCGCAUGCAUACAAACAGUAGGAGCCUCACCAGAGGUGACUGCGUACCUUUUGCAUAAUGGGUCAGCGACUUACAUUCUGUGGCGAGCUUAACCGAAUAGGGGAGGCGCAGCGAAAGCGAGUUCGAAAUGAGCGUCCAGUCGCAGGGUGUAGACCCGAAACCAGAUGAGCUAUCCAUGGCCAGGUUGAAGGUGUGGUAACACACACUGGAGGACCGAACCGACUAGUGUUGCAAAAUUAGCGGAUGAGCUGUGGAUAGGGGUGAAAGGCCAAACAAAUCUGGAGAUAGCUGGUUCUCCCCGAAAACUAUUGAGGUAGUGCCUCGUGUGUCGCUCCAGGGGGUAGAGCACUGUUUUGGCUAGGGGGACAUGGAGUCUUACCAAACCAAGGCAAACUCCGAAUACCUGGAAGCGUGAGCACGGGAGACAGAGCACCGGGUGCUAACGUCCGGACUCAAAAGGGAAACAACCCAGACCGCCGGCUAAGGUCCCCAAUAACAGCUAAGUGGAAAACGAAGUGGAAAGGCCGUGACAACCAGGAAGUUGGCUUAGAAGCAGCCAUCCUUCAAAGAAAGCGUAAUAGCUCACUGGUCGAGUCCUUCUGCGCGGAAGAUGUAACGGGGCUAAGCUGUUAACCGAAGCCGCGGAUGCACUGAUUAUUCAGUGCGUGGUAGGGGAGCGUUCUGUAAGUCUGCGAAGGCGGUUCGAGAGGACUGCUGGAGAUAUCAGAAGUGCGAAUGCUGACAUGAGUAACGUUAAAGCAGGUGAAAAGCCUGCUCGCCGUAAGCCCAAGGAUUCCUGCUCUACGUUCAUCGGAGCAGGGUGAGUCGGCUCCUAAGGUCAGGCCGAAAGGCGUAGCCGAUGGGAAUCAGGUUAAUAUUCCUGAACCUGCGUCAGAUGCGAUGGGGGGACGGAGCAUGAAAGAUCAUCCGGGUGUUGGAUGUCCCGGUUGACGAGCGUAGGAGGUCUGCAGGCAAAUCCGCAGACGCAUCUCCAAGGCGAAGUCACGUGCCGCCACGGCGGCGAAGUGAUCGGAAGUGCUUCCAAGAAAAGCCUCUAAGCACCAGUCUGACGCGGACCGUACCGCAAACCGACACUGGUGGGCGAGCUGAAUAUGCUCAGGCGCUUGAGAGAACUCGGGAGAAGGAACUCGGCAAAUUGACACCGUAACUUCGGAAGAAGGUGUGCCGUAGUACCGUGAGAGGAGAGACACCUUGAGCGGGAAUCGGUCUCAGAGAAUAGGUGGCUGCGACUGUUUAUUAAAAACACAGCACUCUGCAAAGUCGAAAGACGACGUAUAGGGUGUGAUGCCUGCCCGGUGCUGGAAGAUUAAUUGAUGGGGUGAGAGCCCUUGAUCGAAGUCCCAGUAAACGGCGGCCGUAACUAUAACGGUCCUAAGGUAGCGAAAUUCCUUGUC
This 1927-nucleotide ribosomal RNA is filed under the name human gut metagenome. Its description in RNAcentral is "bacterial LSU rRNA". It matches the Rfam family "Bacterial large subunit ribosomal RNA", at positions 3 to 1973 of the family's 2925-position model. The record is from RNAcentral.